Molecule: ribosomal RNA, 253 nt
Filed under: uncultured bacterium
Lineage: Bacteria
Description: partial 16S ribosomal RNA
Rfam family: Bacterial small subunit ribosomal RNA
Source: RNAcentral
UACGUAGGUGGCAAGCGUUGUCCGGAUUUACUGGGCGUAAAGAGCGCGCAGGCGGUCUUGUAAGUCGAAUGUGAAAGCCCCUGGCUCAACCGGGGAGGGUCAUUCGAUACUGCUCGACUCGAAGGCAGGAGAGGGAAGCGGAAUUCCCGGUGUAGUGGUGAAAUGCGUAGAUAUCGGGAGGAACACCAGUGGCGAAGGCGGCUUUCUGGCCUGUUCUUGACGCUGAGGCGCGAAAGCUAGGGGAGCAAACAGG